This is a long non-coding RNA of Sander lucioperca (pikeperch), 239 nucleotides long. RefSeq lists it as uncharacterized. NCBI's taxonomy places the organism in Eukaryota, Metazoa, Chordata, Actinopteri, Perciformes, Percidae. The transcript has 3 exons. The record is from RefSeq and is a predicted model, not a curated record.
GGUAGUUCUUGAGCGUCUGCGGCAGUGGGAGUGUGUCGAUGUGAUGGAUGCGCUCUCUACCCAGAGCCAAUCGAGCUACUCGUCUGCACAAGUCCAUGAGGGGGAGGGGCUCCGCUAAGCCAGACGCUGAGCUCAGAGGCACACUAGGACAUCUUCCAGAAUUCCUCCUCUACUGGCUGCCGUCCGCCAGCACACACGGCUCACAGCCACGGACAUGGUGUCCGUGUCUCUCUGCCGGC